UAAAUGACUAACUGGUAAAUCAUACUAGGACGUGAUUGACCGACCUUGAUUGUUAGCUAUAUUUGAGAAUCUAACCGAGCAAACCGAGGUGAGUUCACACUUUUCUACAAAGCAUGGUAAUUUCCCGGUGGGAAUGGGAAUGGGUACAGGAAUAGGGAUUCCUCGUCCUUUGGGACGCGUUCAGGAAUGUGAAUUCCUCGUCCUUGAGACGUGUUCAGGAAUGUAAAUUCCUCGUCCUGUUGGGACGUAUUAGACUUACUGGACUAGAACUCUAUCAGCGAAGUCCCUCCCUUUUUGUAUCGACUUAAUCGCCGAGGCUAUGGCGAGCGGGUCAUUAGUUAAUAGCGUUAUUAGGUUUAACAAACCUCACACCGUGCCAGUCGGACGGGCGUGUACUAAUGGACUAUGGCACGUCGGUGGUGAUAGAACACCGACGCUAGGGCACAAUUGAUUUUUGUUAGUAGUCGAUAUGAUAAACGAGUCUGGUAGUUUAAAAUACUUGGGUAGCUCCCCACGGCCAAAGUGUCGGGCUGGAUAGCCAGGGAAGGUGGACAUGGGAUGGUUAACUAAUAAACGUUUUCGAACUCUGGGGUCAUUAGAUGCUAUGGAGCUUGCAUAUGGAGGUGGUCGUUGUGGGAUGCGAACUGAUAUGUCUAGUACUUAAUGAAUAAACUUUAUGAACUUAUUAAACCUACUUUUGGACUUUAAAUUUAUGAACUAUGGACUUAUGUUUU
Molecule: long non-coding RNA, 734 nt
Filed under: Helianthus annuus (common sunflower)
Lineage: Eukaryota; Viridiplantae; Streptophyta; Magnoliopsida; Asterales; Asteraceae
Description: hypothetical non coding rna
Source: RNAcentral